GCGGUUACACCUGCUCUUCAACUCAAAAAUCCAAAUAGAAUUACAGGUAUUUAAAGUUGUCUAAUAAUUAAAAAUUAGUUGUUAAUAUCAAAAUUUUCAUUCUAAAUUGGACUAGAGCCCAAGUAAUUUAAUGAAUUAGGUUAAGUAAGACUUAAAUCAAAUGGCGGUAUUAUUUUUAAGCAGAGAAACUUGAAAUUUAGAUAAUCCUCUUUAUUGUAGAUUUUUGAAAAGUUUAGGUAUGGUUGUCCAAAAAUAAUAAGUUAAUUAAAUUUAUAGUCAAAUUACAUCUAACUUCAAAAAAAGAUUGAGUUGCUUAUUUAAUAAAAAGAUUCUUUUAAAAUAACUGAGGAUUUGCAAGUAAAAUAAAUUUUUGAAUAUUCUAUAAGUACA
Molecule: ribosomal RNA, 390 nt
Filed under: Tigriopus brevicornis
Lineage: Eukaryota; Metazoa; Arthropoda; Copepoda; Harpacticoida; Harpacticidae
Description: partial small subunit ribosomal RNA
Source: RNAcentral